AAUAGAUACCCGGGUAGUCCACGCCGUAAACGAUGAGUGCUAAGUGUUAGAGGGUUUCCGCCCUUUAGUGCUGAAGUUAACGCAUUAAGCACUCCGCCUGGGGAGUACGGCCGCAAGGCUGAAACUCAAAGGAAUUGACGGGGGCCCGCACAAGCGGUGGAGCAUGUGGUUUAAUUCGAAGCAACGCGAAGAACCUUACCAGGUCUUGACAUCCUCUGACAACCCUAGAGAUAGGGCUUCUCCUUCGGGAGCAGAGUGACAGGUGGUGCAUGGUUGUCGUCAGCUCGUGUCGUGAGAUGUUGGGUUAAGUCCCGCAACGAGCGCAACCCUUGAUCUUAGUUGCCAUCAUUCAGUUGGGCACUCUAAGGUGACUGCCGGUGACAAACCGGAGGAAGGUGGGGAUGACGUCAAAUCAUCAUGCCCCUUAUGACCUGGGCUACACACGUGCUACAAUGGACGGUACAAAGAGCUGCAAGACCGCGAGGUGGAGCUAAAUCUCAUAAAAACCGUUCUCAGUUCGGA
Molecule: ribosomal RNA, 522 nt
Filed under: uncultured bacterium
Lineage: Bacteria
Description: bacterial SSU rRNA
Rfam family: Bacterial small subunit ribosomal RNA
Source: RNAcentral